Molecule: ribosomal RNA, 847 nt
Filed under: Pseudocoleophoma yunnanensis
Lineage: Eukaryota; Fungi; Ascomycota; Dothideomycetes; Pleosporales; Dictyosporiaceae
Description: Pseudocoleophoma sp. LL-2022b partial large subunit ribosomal RNA
Rfam family: Eukaryotic large subunit ribosomal RNA
Source: RNAcentral
AAGCGGAGGAAAAGAAACCAACAGGGAUUGCCCCCAGUAACGGCGAGUGAAGCGGCAAAAGCUCAAAUUUGAAAUCUGGCUCUCUAUGGGAGUCCGAGUUGUAAUUUGCAGAGGGCGCUUUGGCGUCGGCAGCGGUCCAAGUUCCUUGGAACAGGACGUCACAGAGGGUGAGAAUCCCGUACGUGGUCGCCUGCCUUCGCCGUGUAAAGCCCCUUCGACGAGUCGAGUUGUUUGGGAAUGCAGCUCUAAAUGGGAGGUAAAUUUCUCCUAAAGCUAAAUACUGGCCAGAGACCGAUAGCGCACAAGUAGAGUGAUCGAAAGAUGAAAAGCACUUUGGAAAGAGAGUCAAAUAGCACGUGAAAUUGUUGAAAGGGAAGCGCUUGCAGCCAGACGUGCCCGCGGUUGUUCUCUUCCGUGGGCAGGCCAGCAUCAGUUUGGGCGGUCGGAUAAAGGCCUCUGUCACGUAUCUCCCUUCGGGGAGACCUUAUAGGGGAGGCGUAAUGCGAUCAGCCCGGACUGAGGUCCGCGCAUCUGCUAGGAUGCUGGCGUAAUGGCUGUAAGCGGCCCGUCUUGAAACACGGACCAAGGAGUCUAACAUCUAUGCGAGUGUUUGGGUGUCAAGCCCGAGCGCGCAAUGAAAGUGAACGGAGGUGGGAACCCUCUUGGGGGUGCACCAUCGACCGAUCCUGAAGUCUUCGGAUGGAUUUGAGUAAGAGCAUGGCUGUUGGGACCCGAAAGAUGGUGAACUAUGCUUGAAUAGGGUGAAGCCAGAGGAAACUCUGGUGGAGGCUCGCAGCGGUUCUGACGUGCAAAUCGAUCGUCAAAUUUGGGCAUAGGGGCGAAAGAC